AACACCUCUGUAUUAUAAAAAAAACCGACCAUCACUACCUGCACCUAAAACACCAGCGGCAAUCUCCACCUCCGGUGAAGAAAGCAUCGCUAGCUAGUCGACAAAGCCAAAGCAAAAAAGAAAAGAAAAGAAAAGCCCUUUUGCAGUACCGGGUUUAGCUUAAAAGCUAAAAAGAGAGCAAAGAUGGCGACGAAAGGAAGCGGCUUGAAAUCGACGUCCAUAAAUGGAGUGAAGAUGUACAUGGUUUCUUCACAGCAACGUAAUCCUGCUCCGUGGGUUGGCUCCAAAAAGCAACGUCCUUCUCGCGAAGAUAAAAGAUUAUCAGCAAAAGAUAGAGUUGGUUCAGGAUGUAACGUUUCCAACCGCUAUGAGUAGAAUUAAAGCGACCCCAGAUGGAGAAUUUCUUAUUGCGUCGGGAAUAUACCCACCGCAAAUAAAAGUGUAUGAGUUAAGAGAGUUUGCAUUGAAGUUUGAAAGACACUUUGAUUCUGAGAUAAUUGAUUUUCAGGUUUUCUGAAGUUUUAACAUACUGUUUCUAUGAAACUAUUGUAAUUUGCUCCUGGUGGCAUUGGCAGCUGUCAUCAUCUUUACUUGAGAGGAUGAGUGUAGAGUUUUGCCAUGAUUUUUGAUGCACUACUGAGGCAAUGAUUUGUUUUCUGUUUGUGUAGAUAUUGGAUGAUGACUAUUCAAAGCUUGCAUUUUUAUGUGCUGAUCGUUCUGUUUGCCUACACGCCAAAUAUGGAAAACACUACACUUAGCGAAUUCCAAGGUUUAUAUUGAUGAUUUAUCAGUAUUUAUGCUUUUGUUUCAUAUUGUGAUUUGUUUUUUGUUUCGUGCAUUGCUACAUACAGCUAACCAUUUCCUUGACAUGCUAAUGUUAUUAUGCUUCUUGACUUCUCUGUCAGGUGGAUUUUAUGUUGUAUUAAAGGGAACAAAGGUAACACAUGUAAGGCCCUCCUAGUUAAUGGAUGGUCCAAUAUAGUGCCUAGAGGUAGAGGGGAUAUAGAGGUCAUAAAGCAAGUAGUUAAUUUAGCCUUUACUGGCAUUUAUUAUCAUUUUUGUAUUGCUUAGUUGAUUUAUAUGAACAUAAUGAGAAGUGUGGUACAAACUUAUCGUAGUUGCUGACAUCAUAAUAAGGUUUUUUGUCUGAUAUGAAACUGAAAGAGGAAAGAAUUUUCUAAGCGCUGCCAAUAUGAGAUAAUGUUGAAGAAUUUGAAAUGCAUUAAAGCUUGUUGAGAACUUGGAAAGCUCAUUUUGAUGUAAGAAUGUAUUAACUUGAAAUGCUUUACUGAGACUAGAUCGAAGGUCAUGUGACUCUUGGGUAGUGCUUAAUGUUUUAGUGAAUAAGUUACUCAUGGCAUGAACAUGAGUGCCUUGGGAGAUCAUAGAGGGGAAAACAGGUUAAUAUCCAGCUAGGAUAGGGUUGAAUGAAACGUUUGACUGUUACUUCCAAACUUUUGGGAUUAAUUUUGUACCGUGCAUUGGUUGCAUCAUAUAACUUUAUGCUGGAGGAGUGCUUUAUUGCUUUUUGAUGAGAGGAUCUCACUCAAAAAUGAGAUACAAGAGGUUCGCUCUGUUGCAGAAAGCAAAAGAACAAAGUGAGGCAAAUAAGGAACAAGUUCAGUGUCAGUAUGAGUCCUCUGCAGUGCCUUAAGUCUCUUUUUCAAAUAAAAGAUGUAUCAAUAAUGAAAUGACAAGAAGUACAAUCACAUGAGGAGAAUAAGUCGACCAUCAAUCUAUUGGUGCAACGUAUUGCUAACUGAAAAGUGAAAACAGUGGAUAGUCAUCCUUAAGUCUCUCUUAGUAAUUCAUAUGCUUUUUCAGUGGGUUCUUUGAUAUGCCAGUUGAACAUUUAUUUCUGGAUCAUAAUGCCAGGUCUAGGAAAAUCACUUUGAUUCAGUUGAUGAUGGAUUAGGAACUCUGCUUAUCAGUUUGUUUUUUGACUGAUAUCCAGUUUCACUUUUUUCCUUGGGAUGGGUCACCUCUUUAUUCAGUGUCAUCUCUGCCCAAGGGAUUGGUUUCCCUGAUUAUGCAUCUCUUGAAUUGAAGAUAGCAAACUCUCUUAGCUAGACUUCUUUUCCCUUUAGAUAGCAAAUUCUCUUGGCAUUCUGGAACCGCAUAUCACUUGCAGAGGAGGAUUCUCCUCCUCUUGGAGAGAAAGCAGCAGCCCUUUGAGAUAACCUGCAGACCUCUGCCUGAAAUAACAUAAAGUUUGGACCACGAGGAUCUCGUGAAAUUUUAUUCUCUACACGAAGCUCAGCCCAUACAAAGAGGGUGGGGAUGACAGGACAAAGAAACACGGCGUGACAAGAGGAGUGGAAUCCAAUCAUUAGGGCUGAAGUCUGCUGGAUCAGGGUUUAGAGGCAAUAGAAGAGGAGGGAGUACUAGGGGGAGGGGUAGAAGAGGAGGCCGGCACUGAACAUCUUGUGUUCGGAUAAAAGUGAUGACUCACAUUCAGCUUUGGCUGUAUUGAUUUUGGAAGCUGCUUAUUGGUGAUCUGCAAACAACGAGCACAAUCACAAGAUGAGCUGGAAAAAUUUGUACAGUGAAAUUAUUCAAUGGAAUGCUUAGCUGUUGAGAUUUUGCUGUUGAUUUUUGUUUCCUCACCUCUAUAUAGAGAAAAAAAAAAUUCAUGGCCAUUUUUUCUCCCCUUCUGGAGGGGCAAUUUUGUUCGAGAGAGUUGCAACUUUUAACUGUACCAUAUAAACAAUACUUUUCUUUUCCUUACAGAAGAAAUCUGCCUUUACCCUCUUUCAGCGUGGCAAAGAUGAAAACCCAGAUUGUAAUCAGUGUAGGCGGUGACAGUCCUCGGAGAUGUUCCUGAUCAAAAUAUUUCUUUCCAUGUUAUCAAUUUUGGUUUUUGAAGAUUAUCAUUCAUUGUCGUGGGAUUGGAAGUUCUUUUGCCGAUAGGAUAGAUCUACUGAGCAUACCCUGUACAUGCAUCGAGGAGCUAAAACACAUUAAUUUCUUUGGUUCAAUCGAAGGCAUUGCCUUCCUGCCAUUGGAAAAAAAGUAUCUAGAAUUUACCUCUUUCGAGAUGUGUAUCAUGUCAAGUGAUUUUACAAGCUAGCUACAAUAUGAUUUUGUAUAUCUCUGGCCAUGUUUACAUGAAUCAUUGAAUCUCUAAAGAGCAGUCUGAUCCA
Populus trichocarpa (black cottonwood) is the source of this 3143-nucleotide long non-coding RNA. RefSeq lists it as uncharacterized. The transcript is spliced from 3 exons. The record is from RefSeq and is a predicted model, not a curated record. Lineage: Eukaryota; Viridiplantae; Streptophyta; Magnoliopsida; Malpighiales; Salicaceae.